GGAACAAACAAAGUCUGUGCUAACUCUCCAUCCUUUCUGUUGGAAAGGGCUCUUUUUAUUUUCCAGUCUCUUUGCUGCCUUUACUUUCUUCCCUUGUCUGACCUGUUUCUAUGAGAGAGAGCUUUUACCCACCUCCCUUCUGCUGGGUUCUCUCUCAUUCCAUUUGUUGGUUGCUUUUCUGCAACCUUUCUGCAUUUUGCUGGACACCUUCAUCCAUUUCCACCCAUGCAUUCUCUCUGGAGCCCAACAUUUACUACCCUGUUCUGUGCCAUCUCAGUUAGUUAUGAUAUAAUCUAAUACUUCAUGAUAAGAGAGACUAAUUUAUUUUCUGUGUAAUUUAGACCAGCCCUUGGGAAAAAAUGCAGUAAAGCAUUAAUAAUAACUAUAAUAUGUAGCAGAUUAUUGUCCCUGGCACAGAAUGGUCUCAGUUAAAUAGAACCACACAGAAGUAUGGAAUAGCUGAGUCUGGAUGGGCUUCUGGAAAUUCUCCAGUCCAAGCCCCACAUUCAGCAGACCUGUGUCUGGUCUGGUCUUCGUGAUAGCUUCUGCAACACUGGUAAAACAGUUCUGAUCAGUUUUCUGAUAGCUGCAGAAGAAUGUCAGUUAGUUUUGAUCUAAAAGGAUACACUGAAGUAUCCUUUAGCUUAGCUGAUUUGGGAGCUAGAGCAAAGAUUAUCUGCAAAUAAAAUUAAUGGAACAGAAUAAUGGUAAUGAACUGAGAACAGAAGUUCAGGGAAAUUUGGUGAUGUAUAAUGAGAUAAUGCUUUGUGAUGAUGCAUAAUAAGAUAAUGCAGAAAAAAAUAUAGCAAAUUACAGUAGGCAAAAAGAAGUCUCUCUUCUGUCAACCUGGGAUUCAACUCUGAAAGAAUUUCUGAGAAACUUCAGUAGUUUAACAUAAAUGCAAUCUUAAAAUACUUUUUAUUAGAAGCUUCAUUUGAAACAACACCAUGCACACACUGUGGAGUUAGAAGGAUCUUUUUCAUAUUCAUGUGAAUAAUAACUUGAUGUUUGCUUAUAUAUAUAUAUAUUUAGAAAGAACAUCUUGUACCUCUGCAGCUAACACCUUUCCUGCUCGAGGGAGAUCUGGCACAUUGAAAGGAGUAUUUGGAUUAUUCUGUAGCACUUGCAUAACGAGUCCUUCCGUAGGCCUUGCAGGAAUGCCCCGGGGACUGCAGCAGCCCUUUGCUGGCAGGUGUGACCAGUGUGUGAGACAGUGCCAGCUGGGCACAGAGCAGGCAAAGCCAUUGACCCCGUCACUAAAUACUUCAGCCGCAGCAACACGAGCACCGCACAGAUGCAGCUGAUGCAGCCGAUGAUCGAGAGGCUUUGCAGCACCCGUGCCUUCCCCAAGCCCAGCCCACCGGCUACGCCUCUGCUCUGUGUUACCAGCAAGGGCCGUCACUAAUGACGGCAGGGACGGAGUCUCGUUGGCAAAUGUCCCACAGGGGACAGUGUCGAUUUCUCUGUCUUGGGGCGAUUUUAUGAUGAUACUCUAUUCCAUAAUCAUCUGCUUUAUGCCCAGAAAAGCUGUUGUAGCUUUAAGAUGAACCCGGGGCCGGAGCCUGGGAGCCCCGGGCGCGGGCUCUGUUCAAACUCUGUCCCUCCGGCGCUCGGGACAGCGUGGAGCGGGAUGCUGCACUGUUCCUCUUGUUGCAUUGGUUUUUGCUAGCUUGAAGCAAGAAGUCUUUUUCCCCUUCCCUUCCCCUAGCCUGGAGGCUGUACCGGGAAUCCUCUCAGCAGCUUUUUUGGGGUUUUUUUCCGUGAAAUGUUUCGGCUUGGCUUGUUUUUCUUUUCGGCCCGUCCGGGGAACCGGUGGGACCGCCCCGAACUCGAGACCUCGGAGGAGCUGAACCAACAAGAGAAAAGGACAUUCAACUCCACCAACUUCGCCUGCUGCGAGGAGGAGACCCAAGCCAGAAAUCUAACAGGUUCCCAGCUGUUGUGAACUCUUUUCUCCCCCCUCCCAGAGACGGAGAAGGGCAGCCGCCAUCUUUGCCUCUCGGCCACACGGCGAGGUGGGGGUGGGUGUAAGGUUCAGUUCCUUUUUUUCCUGCGCUUUGCGGGUAUCUUGCUUUGUCAAUAAACAGUUUUACCUUUUU
Long non-coding RNA from Corvus hawaiiensis (hawaiian crow), 2099 nucleotides. RefSeq lists it as uncharacterized. The transcript is spliced from 3 exons. Lineage: Eukaryota; Metazoa; Chordata; Aves; Passeriformes; Corvidae. The record is from RefSeq and is a predicted model, not a curated record.